RNAcentral lists this ribosomal RNA (448 nucleotides) under Plectostoma pulchellum. RNAcentral's name for it is "Opisthostoma pulchellum partial 16S ribosomal RNA". It matches the Rfam family "Bacterial large subunit ribosomal RNA", at positions 1943 to 2606 of the family's 2925-position model. Lineage: Eukaryota; Metazoa; Mollusca; Gastropoda; Architaenioglossa; Diplommatinidae. The record is from RNAcentral.
UGACUGUGCGAAGGUAGCAUAAUAAUUUGCCUUUUAAUUAGAGGAUGGAAUGAAUGGUUGGAUGAAGAUAAGGCUGUCUCAUAUAUAUUUUUUAAAAGUUAAUUUUUAAGUUAAAAAGCUUAAAUUGAAUUAAAAGACGAGAAGACCCUAUUAAGCUUAAAAAAGCACUAUAAUUAUUGCUAUAUUGUAAAAUGUAAUAUUAAUGAUUAGAUUUUAGUUGGGGCGACUUGGGAGCAAAGAAAACCUCCUUUUAAAUUAAAUAAAAUUUUAGUUAUGUUCCAAAGGAUUUUGAAAUAAGAACAAGUUACUAUAGGGAUAACAGCGUAAUUCUAUUUGAGAGCUCUAAUCGAAAAUAGAGUUUGCGACCUCGAUGUUGGAUUAAGAAAUAUUAAAGGUUGUAGAAGCUUUUAUAAUUAGUCUGUUCGACUACUAAUAUCUUACAUGAUCU